Molecule: ribosomal RNA, 376 nt
Filed under: uncultured bacterium
Lineage: Bacteria
Description: bacterial SSU rRNA
Rfam family: Bacterial small subunit ribosomal RNA
Source: RNAcentral
AUACGUAGGGCGCGAGCGUUGUCCGGAUUUACUGGGUGUAAAGGGUGCGUAGGCGGCUCUGCAAGUCAGGUGUGAAAACCAUCGGCUUAACUGAUGGACUGCAUUUGAAACUGUGGGGCUUGAGUGGAGCAGAGGCAGACGGAAUUCCCGGUGUAGCGGUGAAAUGCGUAGAGAUCGGGAGGAACACCAGUGGCGAAGGCGGUCUGCUGGGCUUUAACUGACGCUGAGGCACGAAAGCAUGGGUAGCAAACAGGAUUAGAUACCCUGGUAGUCCAUGCCGUAAACGAUGAUUACUAGGUGUGGGGGGUCUGACCCCCUCCGUGCCGGAGUUAACACAAUAAGUAAUCCACCUGGGAAGUACGACCGCAAGGUUGAA